This 4752-nucleotide long non-coding RNA is filed under the name Sus scrofa (pig). RNAcentral describes it as "lncRNA (ENSSSCG00050026178.1)". Lineage: Eukaryota; Metazoa; Chordata; Mammalia; Artiodactyla; Suidae. The record is from RNAcentral.
CUGCUCAGCUUAUAGACUCCUAGGGAACAUUGUAAGCAUUGAAAAGUUUAGUUCCAUUACUUCUAAUGUAAUGUCUACAGAGGAUAAAGGAGUACCCAGCAGAGUCAAUUUGCUUCUGAAAACCUUGACCUAGAGCUGUUGUGGAUGAACAGUAAAAAGGGUUGGGCUGUGAAGGUGUGUGUGGUGUUUUGAGUGGUUGAAAAAGAAGAGGGGAUUUGUGAUCUUUGUUCAGCAAAUCUGUCACAUUUAAACCCAAAAUAACCAAGUCCAGGAUCUGAAAAUGAAAACAUUCUUUUCUUUUAUUGACCAUAUAAAUUCAUGUUGACUGGCCAUUGCAUUUGGGGUGGUAUUCUUUCUCUCAUUAAAGACCCAAAGGAUUACAAUUCUGAUCAUUAGAAUUCCAGAAAUGGUAAAUAUUCUCCAUUGAAAAUAGGACCAACUGGGAGACCUACAUAGUUGUAGGUGGGCUUCCAUGAAUCCAUCUCAGAAAUAUCGUCAUGAUUCUAUGGCCAUUAUAGAUGCUAAGCCACAUUAUUAAAUGUCAUUUUAUUAGCUGGAGUAUUUCUGGAUUCAUUUGAAGAAUUUUCAUAAAAAUGAAUUUGUGACCUUUAGUCAGAUUAAACUUAGUGAAUAUAUAGUUAUUCAUUAUAAAAUAAAUUGCCAUCAACUCUCAUUUUUAUAAUUUUAUAAUCUUGUUUUUAUGAAAUUUUUGUUAAAGUUUGCAUUUUAGCAAGUGACUAGUAAAAUGACUGAAACUGAUCCCAUACUAAGUAAAACAUUUGAAAAAAAUAACAAAUUUAGGGGUCUUAUAUGUACAAGCUGCAUUUUAACACCGACUUCACUAUUCAUAGUAUACAUUUGUCAGCAUAUAUAUCUGAUUUUUAUAUCCCCAAACUAUCCCAAGAGAGCAGAGGAAAGGAAGAUACUCAAUGGAAGUUACUAAAGAAAAUACGAGAAAACAAUUCAUGACCAUCCUACAUGAACGUUCUCACCAAACAUAUCAAAGUAUAAAGAAAUGAGUAUUUUGGAAACAACCAUCAUCUAUAAUAAAAUAGGAAAAAGGAAAGUGUGAUGGAAGAUAAUACAAGAAAAAGAAUGUAUAUAUGUAUAUGACUGGGUUACUAUGCUGUACAGCAGAAACUGAUGCAAACAUUGUAAAUCAACUAUACUUUAAUAAAAAAUUGUAAAGGAAAGGAUGAAGAUAUCAGAUUGAAAAUAAACUCUAAAUUUUUGCAUAUGCAGAUGUUUCUUUAAGUCAUAAAAUCAUUCUUCUUUCAAAAACGGCCUCACCAGCCAUUUAAGAAUGCAAAAACUCUUCUCUCGGAGUUCCCGUCGUGGCGCAGUGGUUAACGAAUCUGGAAUCUGACUAGGAACCAUGAGGUUGCGGGUUUGGUCCCUGCCCUUGCUCAGUGGGUUAACGAUCCAGCGUUGCCGUGAGCUGUGGUGUAGGGUGCAGACGCGGCUUGGAUCCCACGUUGCUGUGGCUCUGGCGUAGGCCGGUGGCUACGGGUCCGAUUGGACCCCUAGCCUGGAAACCUCCAUAUGCCGCGGGAGCGGCCCAAGAAAUAGCAAAAAGACAAAAAAAAAAAAAAAAAAAAAAAAAAAAAAAACCUUUUCUCUCAUGCUUAAUUUUCUGUCAGAGUAUGGAAUCCACCUAAUAUUUAUUCAUUCAUUAAGGAUAUACUAUUAUAGCCUAAAUUUAGAUAUGCAUUGCAUUUGUUUUCUUAAAAAAAUUAGUAUCAGGAGUUCCCAUCGUGGCGCAGUGGUUGACAAAUCCGACUAGGAACCAUGGGGUUGCGGGUUUGAUCCCUAGCCUUGCUUAGUGGGUUAAGGAUCCAGCUUUGUCGUGAGCUGUGGUGUAGGUUGCAGACAUGGCUCGGAUUCCACAUUGCUGUGGCCCUGGCGUAGCCCCGGUGGCUACAGCUCCGAUUCAACCCCUAGCCUGGGAACCUCCAUAUGCCGUGGGAGCAGCCCAAGAAGUGGCAAAAAGACAGAAAAAAAAAAUUAACCAAAGAUGGUUAUUUACUGGAAGCAAGAAAGUCAUCAUUCUCUAAUUAAAUUUUUGUUUGUUACUUAGAUAUUAUUAUUUACUCUGAAAUAAGAAAUAGUACUGAAAAUAUGCUUUAGUAAUAACAAUCCCAAAGCUACCAUGAUCGUAAAGGCUUCUUUCAUUUUAUCAAGACAGACUGUCAAAAUAUGUGGGCUUUUCUGGAAGGUUUAACUACAAAGAUAGCUGUCAGGGGAUAAGUCAGGUCUCUUUAAUACCACUCUCAUUCCUGGGCUUUAUCCUGGGGAAUAAGAGAGUAAGAAGCCCUAGUGACCCUUUAAAUCACCUCUACACCCAGGGAAAUGUCCACCUGCCAGAGUUAGAACAGAGGAGGGAAGAGAAGGGCACUCUUUCUCUGUACUAGGGCAGAGGGCCUCCCAGAGUCUCUUGGUCCAACUAUUUUUUUUUUCUUUUCUCAUGGCAUUAUCUUUGUUUCCUGCUAUUUCCACUUAUCUUUUCCCAAAAGAAACAAAGGCCUUCCUUGCAAAUGUCACCAUUCCUACGUUGUUAAAGGAGGAAAAAAUCCCAAGGUAGUUAGCUCUGGGGGCUGUAAGAUUCAUGCACAUUACAAAGCUAGUCCAUGGGCCCGGAGUUGGAAGAACAUCUGCAUAAGUGUCACAGGUAGAGUUGGGUUUAAUAAUAACGGAGGUCUGUUGAAGAAUUCAUACCAAAAUAAAAAUGAAAUGGACCUGACAGCCAUCCUUCAGGUCAGAACAAAAUAUCCAUUUUUUCAAAUCAAACUUUUUGUUUUAGAACAAUGUUAAAUUUUCAGAAAAAUUGUGAAGAUAGGACCAGAGUUCCCAUAUAACCCACACCAAGUUCCCCUAUUAUUAAUAUCUGACAUUAAUAUGGUAACUUUGCUAUAGUUGAAGGACCAGGAUUGAUACAUUAGUAACUAAGGAGUUCCAGUACCAUAGGGUGGUAUUGCUAUUAAUAUGGGGUUGGUUUUGCAGGCAUUGUGUUCCCAAAGUACAGGUGCCCCCCAGAAUUGCUUGCAUCAUGCAUUUUAUAUCGCUAGUAAUAGCAAGUGGAAUGUUGGCUCUCACGUCAAGAACUUUGAAAGUGUACCAUUUCACUCCAUUAUAAAAUACAAAAAUUUAAAACAGGUUAAAAAUAACAGUCAAAGGAUAAUGAGAAGACGAUUGGUCUAAGCAAUAAAAGAGCUAUUUGGAAUAACAACUUUUGACUUUCUAUGCUUCACUAAGAGCAAAACAUAAGCAAAAAAGGGAUGAGGAUUACAGAGAAAGACAAGUAUGUGUCAGUGGUAUAAAGAACCAGUAGUUAUGACUUGGUUGAUCAAAACCAAGGAUGCAGGUCAAUGAAAAGAAUCAGGUUAGUAACUUGACACGGUUUAAAUAAAAUAAUGUACUCUCUACUGAAAGGUCAAUUCAGCAUUAGAAAAGAUCGGAUGGAAACACUAAUCUCUUGUUCUAAAGAUAAAUUUGGGCUUGAAAAAAGAAAUCGAAUUUAGUUUUAUGGAAAAACAAAAGUACAGCACACCUGGAAGUUCCUGGGCCAGGGAUAGAAUCUGAGCUGUAGCUAUGACCUGCACACAGCUGGAUCCUUUAACCCACUGCUCCUGGCCAGGGAUCCAACCCACACCUCUGCAGCAACCCAAGCUGUUGCUAUUGGAUUCUUAACCCACUUCACCACAGGGGGAACUCCCAGCAUGUGUUUUUAAAGACUUGCGUUUUGGUUAUUUUGACCCGUUGCAAAUACUAAUCCAAGUACAACUUUGAAUUGAUUUAAUUCUAGUAGAGACGUUGCUCUUGACAUGCAUUCAGCUCAGUGGUUUUCUUGCUCAAUUUUGCAAAGCUAAGAAAUUUGAUUGGUUUCGAAUUUAGCUCCAAGCAAUGUUCAGAAGUUUUGUGUUUGUUUGACCUGACCAUUUAAGUAUUUUAAAACUAUGCAACAUUUAACUUUCAGAACGAAUUCUUACUGUUAAAAAUACCUAAGGAUAUUGAAAAAGUUAUACAUUGGUACAUUUUCUAUGAAUUUAAUGACCAUAUAACCAAGAAGAGUUAACAAAUACAGUUUUGAUUUAUAGAUCAAAAAUGUUUUCUACUCCACAUUUAUCUGUUUUACCAUGAAAGUAUUCACUUUUUAAAAAUUGUUAUUAUAGUGAGAUUAAAGACCACAGUUAAGAAUGGAAAACUAUCCAAAGCCAAAUACGGCCAUCUAAAUGUGCAGUUACAAUAGAAACCACAUCCUUGUGGUACUGGCUGGGCCAAGUGUUGGAAGGUAUGGUGGCAUCUGGUUGACCUUCAUGUGCACAUCUGUGAGUAGUCCAGAAAAGUGAGCCUGUACUAAAGGAUUGAGCAGAGCAGUCCUGGAGAUAGACAGUGGAGGAAGUUUUGUGCUAAUUCAAGAAGGAUGUCAAAUGUCAAACUAAGAGAUCCAGGCCUCAUUCUGAUGUACAAGGAGGUCAUUAUUCCUGACUGUACAGGGAAGUAAAAUGAUACCCUUGAGGAGAAGUAGAUAGCUUACGAAGUAUCACUUCUCCAUGGCUUAUUUUAAAUAAAAAAAUCAAAUUGCUUUUGACAAAAAUCAUUUUGUAAUUUGAAAUAUAAUUUUUUUAUAUUUUUAAUGUAUUUAAGUAAAUUUUUAAAUAAAUAAAAUACUGUAUUAUAUUUAUUUAUGAAUUGUUUUAUAACCUGAAAUAUAAACUGUUAUAGCAUAAAAAAGUGCUUACAAAGUGUUUACUA